Molecule: ribosomal RNA, 392 nt
Filed under: Oscillospiraceae bacterium
Lineage: Bacteria; Bacillati; Bacillota; Clostridia; Eubacteriales; Oscillospiraceae
Description: bacterial SSU rRNA
Rfam family: Bacterial small subunit ribosomal RNA
Source: RNAcentral
UUUAUUGAGAGUUUGAUCCUGGCUCAGGACGAACGCUGGCGGCGUGCCUAACACAUGCAAGUCGAACGAGAAUCGGGAGCUUGCUCCUGAGGACAGUGGCGGACGGGUGAGUAACGCGUGAGCAAUCUGCCUUUCGGUGGGGGACAACAGCUGGAAACGGCUGCUAAUACCGCAUAAUGUAUCGGGGUGGCAUCUCCCUGAUACCAAAGAUUUAUUGCCGAAAGAUGAGCUCGCGUCUGAUUAGUUAGUUGGUGAGGUAAUGGCUCACCAAGACUUCGAUCAGUAGCCGGACUGAGAGGUUGAACGGCCACAUUGGGACUGAGAUACGGCCCAGACUCCUACGGGAGGCAGCAGUGGGGAAUAUUGGGCAAUGGGGGAAACCCUGACCCAGC